RNAcentral lists this ribosomal RNA (254 nucleotides) under uncultured bacterium. RNAcentral describes it as "partial 16S ribosomal RNA". It matches the Rfam family "Bacterial small subunit ribosomal RNA", at positions 524 to 776 of the family's 1533-position model. The record is from RNAcentral.
UACGUAGGGUGCAAGCGUUAAUCGGAAUUACUGGGCGUAAAGCGUGCGCAGGCGGUUGGUUAAGACAGAUGUGAAAUCCCCGGGCUCAACCUGGGAACUGCAUUUGUGACUGGCCAGCUAGAGUAUGGCAGAGGGGGGUGGAAUUCCACUGUGUAGCAGUGAAAUGCGUAGAGAUGUGGAGGAACACCGAUGGCGAAGGCAGCCCCCUGGGCCAAUACUGACGCUCAUGCACGAAAGCGUGGGGAGCAAACAGG